Molecule: unclassified non-coding RNA, 691 nt
Filed under: Hevea brasiliensis (rubber tree)
Lineage: Eukaryota; Viridiplantae; Streptophyta; Magnoliopsida; Malpighiales; Euphorbiaceae
Source: RNAcentral
UGUCGGGAGAAGGAAAAGUUGGUCUUAGGUGAACUUAGGAACUAUGAGCUUUCUGAUUGUCUGGAUAACUUUUUGCCAAGUAAAUUUGACAAAGAUAAGUUACGCCGUUCGCAUUCUUUGAUUACAGGAAAGCAAGAUGACACUUGGUCCAAGAAAGUAGCUAGAGACUUGACUAACAAUAAAAAUAAACUUAGCAACAGUAACGGCAAUGGUCUGCUUGCUAGGGUUGGUGAUGGUUCUGUGCAUGAUAAUUCAUUUGAACAGGAUUUCCCCUCAUUGGGAGCUGAGGAAAGACAAGGCGGUAUAGGAAGGGUUUCUUCUCCUGGCUUAAGUGCGGCUACUCAAACUGGUACUUCACCUGUGGUUGUUAGUGAGUAUUGGAAGUCAGCUCUAGCAGAGGUGCCAAUUGUUGUGGGAAGCAGUAGUAUGGUUGUUACAUCAGCUCAGAAAGCCAUUCCUGCAACCUCAGCUACUGUGGUGCCAAACAUUACGACAGGACUCAAUAUGGCUGAAGCAUUAGCACAAGGCCCUCCUCGUGUUCGUACACCUCCCCAGCCAACUGCUGGAAUACAACGGUUUGAAGAGCUCACUAUUAGGCAGUCAAAAUUGAUUCCCAUGACUCCUUCCAUGCCUAAAACCUUGGUGGUCAGUCCUUCAGAGAAAUCAAAACCCAAGAUUGGUUCGCCGAAAC